Molecule: transfer RNA, 74 nt
Filed under: Phocaeicola vulgatus
Lineage: Bacteria; Pseudomonadati; Bacteroidota; Bacteroidia; Bacteroidales; Bacteroidaceae
Also listed under: 1 other name
Description: tRNA-OTHER
Rfam family: tRNA
About the family: Transfer RNA (tRNA) molecules are approximately 80 nucleotides in length. Their secondary structure includes four short double-helical elements and three loops (D, anti-codon, and T loops). Further hydrogen bonds mediate the characteristic L-shaped molecular structure. tRNAs have two regions of fundamental functional importance: the anti-codon, which is responsible for specific mRNA codon recognition, and the 3' end, to which the tRNAs corresponding amino acid is attached (by aminoacyl-tRNA synthetases). tRNAs cope with the degeneracy of the genetic code in two manners: having more than one tRNA (with a specific anti-codon) for a particular amino acid; and 'wobble' base-pairing, i.e. permitting non-standard base-pairing at the 3rd anti-codon position.
Source: RNAcentral
UGAGGUAUAGCUCAAUUGGUAGAGCACUUGGCUGUUAAAAGGUUUGUUGUAGGGUUCAAGUCCCACUACCUCAG